This 497-nucleotide ribosomal RNA is filed under the name uncultured bacterium. RNAcentral's name for it is "partial 16S ribosomal RNA". It matches the Rfam family "Bacterial small subunit ribosomal RNA", at positions 28 to 507 of the family's 1533-position model. The record is from RNAcentral.
GACGAACGCUGGCGGCGUGCCUAAUACAUGCAAGUUGAGCGCUGAAGGUUGGUACUUGUACCGACUGGAUGAGCAGCGAACGGGUGAGUAACGCGUGGGGAAUCUGCCUUUGAGCGGGGGACAACAUUUGGAAACGAAUGCUAAUACCGCAUAAAAACUUUAAACACAAGUUUUAAGUUUGAAAGAUGCAAUUGCAUCACUCAAAGAUGAUCCCGCGUUGUAUUAGCUAGUUGGUGAGGUAAAGGCUCACCAAGGCGAUGAUACAUAGCCGACCUGAGAGGGUGAUCGGCCACAUUGGGACUGAGACACGGCCCAAACUCCUACGGGAGGCAGCAGUAGGGAAUCUUCGGCAAUAGACGAAAGUCUGACCGAGCAACGCCGCGUGAGUGAAGAAGGUGUUCGGAUCGUAAAACUCUGUUGGUAGAGAAGAACGUUGGUGAGAGUGGAAAGCUCAUCAAGUGACGGUAACUACCCAGAAAGGGACGGCUAACUACGUG